This 283-nucleotide long non-coding RNA is filed under the name Gossypium barbadense (sea-island cotton). Its description in RNAcentral is "long non-coding RNA (GBAR_LNC018479)". Lineage: Eukaryota; Viridiplantae; Streptophyta; Magnoliopsida; Malvales; Malvaceae. The record is from RNAcentral.
UGGACUUUGUUUGGUAACAAAUAGUACGAUACGUUUUUACAUAAAAGAGGAGAUUUAGAAACCCUUUAUCGUGACACUCCCAGAUUUGGCCAUAGCGUCUAGGCCAGGUUUGGGGUGUUACAGAUGAUAUGAAUAUGAUGUAUGUGUAUUUCGUUGUUGCUUGAUGACUUGUUUACAUAGUUGUAAUUUUGUGCAUUCACUUAGCUUGUUAAGCUCACCCACUCCAUUUUAACCUUUGUAGAGUAGUCGCGUUCUAGGUGUGGCCUUCAAGGGGUGAUCCCAG